GAUGAACGCUGACAGCAUGCUUAACACAUGCAAGUCUACUUGAACUUCGGUUUGGGUGGCGGACGGGUGAGUAACGCGUAAAGAACUUGCCUCACAGUUAGGGACAACAUUUGGAAACGAAUGCUAAUACCUGAUAUUAUGAUUUUAGGGCAUCCUAAGAUUAUGAAAGCUAUAUGCACUGUGAGAGAGCUUUGCGUCCCAUUAGCUAGUUGGAGAGGUAACGGCUCACCAAGGCGAUGAUGGGUAGCCGGCCUGAGAGGGUGAACGGCCACAAGGGGACUGAGACACGGCCCUUACUCCUACGGGAGGCAACAGUGGGGAAUAUGGGACAAUGGACCAAAAGUCUGAUCCAGCAAUUCUGUGUGAACGAUGACGUUUUUCGGAAUGUAAAGUGCUUUCAGUUGGGAAGAAAAAAAUGACGGUACCAACAGAAGAAGUGACGGCUAAAUACGUG
This 454-nucleotide ribosomal RNA is filed under the name uncultured bacterium. RNAcentral describes it as "partial 16S ribosomal RNA". It matches the Rfam family "Bacterial small subunit ribosomal RNA", at positions 28 to 507 of the family's 1533-position model. The record is from RNAcentral.